UACGUAGGGGGCAAGCGUUGUCCGGAAUUAUUGGGCGUAAAGAGCGUGUAGGCGGCCAGAAAAGUCCGCUGUGAAAACUCGAGGCUCAACUUCGAGCUGUCGGUGGAAACUUUCUGGCUAGAGUCCGGAAGAGGAGAGUGGAAUUCCUGGUGUAGCGGUGAAAUGCGCAGAUAUCGGGAGGAACACCUGUGGCGAAAGCGGCGCACUGGACCACAACUGACGCUGAGGCGCGAAAGCUAGGGGAGCAAACAGG
This 253-nucleotide ribosomal RNA is filed under the name uncultured bacterium. Its description in RNAcentral is "partial 16S ribosomal RNA". It matches the Rfam family "Bacterial small subunit ribosomal RNA", at positions 524 to 776 of the family's 1533-position model. The record is from RNAcentral.